ACUGCUAUUCCACAGGUACAGCCU
Molecule: non-coding RNA, 24 nt
Filed under: Arabidopsis thaliana (thale cress)
Lineage: Eukaryota; Viridiplantae; Streptophyta; Magnoliopsida; Brassicales; Brassicaceae
Source: RNAcentral